This 202-nucleotide long non-coding RNA is filed under the name Paramuricea clavata. The record is from RNAcentral. Lineage: Eukaryota; Metazoa; Cnidaria; Anthozoa; Malacalcyonacea; Plexauridae.
CAGUGGCGUAACGUUAUAUCAAGGGGCCCCCGGUUUAAAAUUUUCGAAGGCCCCCCUAGUAGAAGUGCCAAAGGUACGAGUCGAGCGCCGUAUAUGCACGAGUUUUCUAGGGGGUCCAGGGCAUGGUCAUCCGGAAAAUUUUUGAAUCUAGACUCUCUGAAAUGCCAUUUCCUGGACUUUGGGGAGAGAUUUUACAGAAUUC